ACGUGACUAACCUACCCUGGAGUGGGGAAUAACUGAGGGAAACCUUAGCUAAUGCCGCAUAACACCUACGGGUCAAAGGAGCAAUUCGCUCUGGGAGGGGGUCGCGGCCGAUUAGUUAGUUGGCGGGGUAACGGCCCACCAAGACGAUGAUCGGUAUCCGGCCUGAGAGGGCGCACGGACACACUGGAACUGAAACACGGUCCAGACUCCUACGGGAGGCAGCAGUGGGGAAUUUUGCGCAAUGGGGGAAACCCUGACGCAGCAACGCCGCGUGGAGGAUGAAGUCCUUCGGGACGUAAA
RNAcentral lists this ribosomal RNA (300 nucleotides) under uncultured Acidobacteriaceae bacterium. RNAcentral's name for it is "bacterial SSU rRNA". It matches the Rfam family "Bacterial small subunit ribosomal RNA", at positions 115 to 429 of the family's 1533-position model. Lineage: Bacteria; Pseudomonadati; Acidobacteriota; Terriglobia; Terriglobales; Acidobacteriaceae. The record is from RNAcentral.